Molecule: long non-coding RNA, 706 nt
Organism: Drosophila miranda
Lineage: Eukaryota; Metazoa; Arthropoda; Insecta; Diptera; Drosophilidae
Exons: 3
Source: RefSeq, a predicted model, not a curated record
CGAUUAACCUCAGCACCGUUAUUAGUCACACCCAAUUUCGAGAAACCGUUUAUAAUUCAAUGCGAUGCAUCCAAUAUCGGUGUCGGUGGAGUCCUGGCCCAGUUGGACGAAGAUGGCAUAGAACGGCCAAUUGCAUAUUUUUCUUAUAAGCUAAAUCAAGCCCAACAAAAAUACUGUGUAACCGAAUUGGAGUGUUUAGCUGCAGUAUUGAGCAUAGAGAAAUUUAGGGAGUAUGUAGAGGGUCUGGAGUUCAAAGUCGGUUUCAAGCCCCAAACGGUAAUUACAUAACCCCCCGCUUUGACAUGUGGCUGAUAAAAUUUUUCUUCGCCAAAAGGGGUCUGAGCUUUGCCAGUCGAUCUCGCUUUCUCCAGUGUAAUUUAAUAUUGACGAAAGUUAUCCAACGGAGGUCAAACUUCUGCCGCACAACGAAAAUUUGCGAUCAACCUUAUUUUUGACCUUGGCAGAGGACAUACAGUUGCCUCUGAAAUUCUAUGUCGUGGCCUGGAUAGGCACAGACAUAUCCAUAUCGGAUGUCUUCAAGGAAAAGGAUUGACACACACACACACACACUGAAUUCAACCGACACAUCAAUGCAUGCAGGCCUGUUGCAGCGAUGGAAAACCAAACUUGCUGUAACUGUAGAUAAAUAAGAUGUUAUGAAGAUUUGAGGUGAUGCUGAGGAUGGUUGUUAGUUGGAGUGGAGUUA